AGGUGCGAUUCUACCAGCAUUAAUGCAAUAGAUCCCAUCAGAACAACGCAGUUAAGCGCGCUUGGGCUAGAGUAGUACUGGGAUGGGUGACCUCCCAAGAAGUCCUAGUGUUGCACCCU
Picea glauca (white spruce) is the source of this 119-nucleotide non-coding RNA. Lineage: Eukaryota; Viridiplantae; Streptophyta; Pinopsida; Pinales; Pinaceae. The record is from Rfam.